Molecule: ribosomal RNA, 253 nt
Filed under: uncultured bacterium
Lineage: Bacteria
Description: partial 16S ribosomal RNA
Rfam family: Bacterial small subunit ribosomal RNA
Source: RNAcentral
UACGGAGGGUGCAAGCGUUAAUCGGCAUUACUGGGCGUAAAGCGUGCGCAGGCGGUUUGUUAAGUCCGUUGUGAAAGCCCCGAGCUCAACUUGGGAAUUGCAGUGGAUACUGGCAGGCUGGAGUACGGUAGAGGAAGGUGGAAUUCCCGGUGUAGCAGUGAAAUGCGUAGAUAUCGGGAGGAACACCAGUGGCGAAGGCGGCCUUCUGGACCAGUACUGACGCUCAUGCACGAAAGCGUGGGGAGCAAACAGG